RNAcentral lists this ribosomal RNA (401 nucleotides) under uncultured bacterium. RNAcentral's name for it is "bacterial SSU rRNA". It matches the Rfam family "Bacterial small subunit ribosomal RNA", at positions 356 to 774 of the family's 1533-position model. The record is from RNAcentral.
GGGGAAUAUUGCACAAUGGGCGAAAGCCUGAUGCAGCAACGCCGCGUGGAGGAUGAAGGCCUUCGGGUUGUAAACUCUUGUCUUCUGGGACGAUAAUGACGGUACCAGAGGAGGAAGCCACGGCUAACUACGUGCCAGCAGCCGCGGUAAUACGUAGGUGGCAAGCGUUGUCCGGAUUUACUGGGCGUAAAGGAUGCGUAGGCGGAUAUUUAAGUGGGAUGCGAAAUACCCGGGCUCAACCUGGGUGCUGCAUUCCAAACUGGAUAUCUAGAGUGCGGGAGAGGAAAGUGGAAUUCCUAGUGUAGCGGUGAAAUGCGUAGAGAUUAGGAAGAACACCAGUAGCGAAGGCGACUUUCUGGACCGUAACUGACGCUGAGGCAUGAAAGCGUGGGGAGCAAACA